CCUACGGGAGGCAGCAGUGGGGAAUUUUCCGCAAUGGGCGAAAGCCUGACGGAGCAACGCCGCGUGAGGGAUGAAGGCCUCUGGGCUGUAAACCUCUUUUCUCAAGGAAGAAGAUCUGACGGUACUUGAGGAAUAAGCCACGGCUAAUUCCGUGCCAGCAGCCGCGGUAAUACGGGAGUGGCAAGCGUUAUCCGGAAUUAUUGGGCGUAAAGCGUCCGCAGGCGGCCCUUCAAGUCUGCUGUUAAAACGUGGAGCUUAACUCCAUCAUGGCAGUGGAAACUGUUGGGCUUGAGUGUGGUAGGGGCUGAGGGAAUUCCCGGUGUAGCGGUGAAAUGCGUAGAUAUCGGGAAGAACACCAGUGGCGAAGGCGCUCUGCUGGGCCAUAACUGACGCUCAUGGACGAAAGCCAGGGGAGCGAAAGGGAUUAGAUACCCCUGUAGUCCUGGCCGUAAACGAUGAACACUAGGUGUCGGGGGAAUCGACCCCCUCGGUGUCGUAGCCAACGCGUUAAGUGUUCCGCCUGGGGAGUACGCACGCAAGUGUGAAACUCAAAGGAAUUGACGG
RNAcentral lists this ribosomal RNA (564 nucleotides) under uncultured bacterium. RNAcentral's name for it is "bacterial SSU rRNA". It matches the Rfam family "Bacterial small subunit ribosomal RNA", at positions 338 to 916 of the family's 1533-position model. The record is from RNAcentral.